CGUAACGGAUGCGGAGGUGGUUUCUCAAAUCAAAUGUGAAAGGCUACGGCUCAACCGUAGUAAGCCUUUGAAACUGGAAAACUUGAGUGCAGGAUAGGAGAGUGGAAUUCCUAGUGUAGCGGUGAAAUGCGUAGAUAUUAGGAGGAACACCAGUUGCGAAGGCGGAUCUCUGGACUGUAACUGACACUGAGGCACGAAAGCGUGGGCAGCAAACAAGAUUAGAUACCCUGGUAGUCCCACGCCGUAAAACGAUGUGUACUAGCAGUCGGAGCUUUGAGCCGUCGGUUGCGCAGCUAACGCAUUAAGUCGUCCCCCCUGGGGAGUACGCUCGCAAGAGUGAAAACUCAAAGGAAUUGACGGGGGACCCGCACAAGUAGCGGAGCAUGUGGUUUAAUUCGAAGCAACGCGAAGAACCUUACCUAAGCUUGACAUCCUCGGAAGGAUCAGUAAUCGCAUAUUUCCCUUCGGGGACAGAAGUCACAGGUGGUCACAGGGUUGUUCUAAGUUGGGGUGGAGAGAUGUGGGGUUAAUUCCCACACGGAGCACAACCUUAUCCUUUAGUCCACAGCAUUAAGCUGGGCACUCAAGAGAGACUGCCAGGGAUAACCUGGAGGAAGGUGGGGAUGACGUCAAGUCAUCAUGCCCCUUAUGAUCAGGGCUACACACGUGCUACAAUGGGUCAUACAGAGGGCAGCCAACUCGUGAGAGCAAGCUGAUCUCAUAAAGCCAUUUUCAGUUCGGAUUGUAGUCUGAAACUCGCCUACAUGAAGUUGGAGUUGCUAGUAAUCGCAGAUCAGAAUGCCGCGGUGAAUGCGUUCCCGGGUCUUGUACCCCCCCCCCGUCCCCCCCCGGGGAAUUGGGGGCAAAAGAAAGUAGGAAGGUUAACCUUUGGGAAGUCUCCGUCCAAGGUGAAAUCCAUAACUGGGGUG
RNAcentral lists this ribosomal RNA (929 nucleotides) under uncultured organism. RNAcentral describes it as "SSU rRNA". It matches the Rfam family "Bacterial small subunit ribosomal RNA", at positions 559 to 1482 of the family's 1533-position model. The record is from RNAcentral.